Molecule: ribosomal RNA, 497 nt
Filed under: uncultured bacterium
Lineage: Bacteria
Description: partial 16S ribosomal RNA
Rfam family: Bacterial small subunit ribosomal RNA
Source: RNAcentral
GACGAACGCUGGCGGCGUGCCUAAUACAUGCAAGUUGAGCGCUGAAGGUUGGUACUUGUACCAACUGGAUGAGCAGCGAACGGGUGAGUAACGCGUGGGGAAUCUGCCUUUGAGCGGGGGACAACAUUUGGAAACGAAUGCUAAUACCGCAUAAAAACUUUAAACACAAGUUUUAAGUUUGAAAGAUGCAAUUGCAUCACUCAAAGAUGAUCCCGCGUUGUAUUAGCUAGUUGGUGAGGUAAAGGCUCACCAAGGCGAUGAUACAUAGCCGACCUGAGAGGGUGAUCGGCCACAUUGGGACUGAGACACGACCCAAACUCCUACGGGAGGCAGCAGUAGGGAAUCUUCGGCAAUGGACGAAAGUCUGACCGAGCAACGCCGCGUGAGUGAAGAAGGUUUUCGGAUCGUAAAACUCUGUUGGUAGAGAAGAACGUUGGUGAGAGUGGAAAGCUCAUCAAGUGACGGUAACUACCCAGAGAGGGACGGCUAACUACGUG